Molecule: ribosomal RNA, 497 nt
Filed under: uncultured bacterium
Lineage: Bacteria
Description: partial 16S ribosomal RNA
Rfam family: Bacterial small subunit ribosomal RNA
Source: RNAcentral
GAUGAACGCUGGCGGCGUGCCUAAUACAUGCAAGUCGAGCGAACGGACGAGAAGCUUGCUUCUCUGAUGUUAGCGGCGGACGGGUGAGUAACACGUGGAUAACCUACCUAUAAGACUGGGAUAACUUCGGGACACCGGAGCUAAUACCGGAUAAUAUUUUGAACCGCAUGGUUCAAAAGUGAAAGACGGUCUUGCUGUCACUUAUAGAUGGAUCCGCGCUGCAUUAGCUAGUUGGUAAGGUAACGGCUUAUCAAGGGAACGGUGCAUAGCCGACAUGAGAGUGUGAGCUGCCACGCUUGAGCUGAUACACGGUCCCGACGCCUACGGGAGGCAGCAGUAGGGAAUCUUCCGCGAUGGGCGGAAGCAUAACGGAGAAAGGCCGCGACAGUGAUGAAGGACUUCUGAGCGUAAAACUCUGUUAUUAGGGAAGAACAUAUGUGUAAGUAACUGAGCACAUCUUGACGGUACCUAAUCAGAAAGCCACGGCUAACUACGUG